RNAcentral lists this ribosomal RNA (1325 nucleotides) under metagenome. Its description in RNAcentral is "bacterial LSU rRNA". It matches the Rfam family "Bacterial large subunit ribosomal RNA", at positions 1561 to 2925 of the family's 2925-position model. The record is from RNAcentral.
AGUGGAUGGGGAGCAACCUAGUUGUGCGUGUGUAAAGGUAGUGCCAAGAAAAGCGAUGAUCAUGUUGAAAAUCAAUUCCCGGUACCCGAAACCGACACAGGUGGGCAAGUAGAGAAUACUAAGGGGCGCGAGGUAACUCUCUCCAAGGAACUCGGCAAAAUGACCCCGUAACUUAGGGAGAAGGGGUGCCACCGAGAGGUGGUCGCAGUGAAGAGGCCCAGGCGACUGUUUAGCAAAAACAUAGGUCUCUGCAAACUCGAAAGAGGAGGUAUAGGGGCUGACGCCUGCCCAGUGCCGGAAGGUUAAAGAAGUUGGUCAGUUUUAGGAUGAAGCUAGCGACUGAAGCCCCGGUGAACGGCGGCCGUAACUAUAACGGUCCUAAGGUAGCGAAAUUCCUUGUCGGGUAAGUUCCGACCCGCACGAAAGGCGUAACGAUCUGGGCGCUGUCUCGGAGAGAGGCUCGGCGAAAUAGGAUUGUCUGUGAAGAUACGGACUACCUGCAUUUGGACAGAAAGACCCUAUGAAGCUUUACUAUAGCUUGGAAUUGUGUUCGGGCUUCCUGUGCGCAGGAUGGGUGGGAGGCGUAGAAGGUAUUCUUGUGGGGAUACUGGAGCCAACGGUGAGAUACCACUCUCAGGAGGCUAGAAUUCUAACUUAAUUAAGGACAGUUUCAGGUGGGUAGUUUGACUGGGGCGGUCGCCUCCAAAAAGGUAACGGAGGCGUACAAAGGUUCCCUCAGACUGGUUGGAAAUCAGUCGAAGAGUGCAAAGGCAGAAGGGAGCUUGACUGCGAGAAGUACAGUUCGAGCAGGGUGGAAACACGGUCUUAGUGAUCCGACGGUGCUGUGUGGAAGGGCCGUCGCUCAACGGAUAAAAGUUACUCUAGGAUAACAGGCUGAUCUCCCCCAAGAGUUCACAUCGACGGGGAGGUUUGGCACCUCGAUGUCGGCUCAUCGCAACCUGGGGCGGAAGUACGUCCCAAGGGUUGGGCUGUUCGCCCAUUAAAGCGGUACGUGAGCUGGGUUCAGAACGUCGUGAGACAGUUCGGUCCAUAUCCGAUGUAGGCGUGAGAAUAUUGAGAGGAGCCUUCCUUAGUACGAGAGGACCGGGAAGGACGCACCGCUGGUGUACCUGUUAUGAUGCCAAUUGUAAACGCAGGGUAGCCAAGUGCGGAGAGGAUAACCGCUGAAAGCAUCUAAGUGGGAAGCCCACCUCAAGAUGAGUAUUCUGGUGUAAGGUCACGGGAAGACGACCCGUAAAUAGGCACGAGGUGGAAGUGCAGAGAUGUAUGAAGCCGAAGUGUACUAAUAGACCGUCGGCUUGACC